RNAcentral lists this transfer RNA (55 nucleotides) under Austropallene bucera. RNAcentral describes it as "tRNA-Ala". Lineage: Eukaryota; Metazoa; Arthropoda; Pycnogonida; Pantopoda; Callipallenidae. The record is from RNAcentral.
AGAUAUGAAAAUAUAAGAUUUGCAAUUUUAUUAAGCUUUUGACAAGCCAUAUCUA